RNAcentral lists this ribosomal RNA (695 nucleotides) under uncultured Hyphomonas sp. RNAcentral describes it as "bacterial SSU rRNA". It matches the Rfam family "Bacterial small subunit ribosomal RNA", at positions 94 to 824 of the family's 1533-position model. The record is from RNAcentral. Lineage: Bacteria; Pseudomonadati; Pseudomonadota; Alphaproteobacteria; Hyphomonadales; Hyphomonadaceae.
AGUGGCAGACGGGUGAGUAACGCGUGGGAACGUACCUUUCACUACGGAAUAGCUCCGGGAAACUGGUGGUAAUACCGUAUACGCCCUAAGGGGGAAAGAUUUAUCGGUGAAAGAUCGGCCCGCGUUGGAUUAGCUAGUUGGUGAGGUAAUGGCUCACAAAGGCGACGAUCCAUAGCUGGUCUGAGAGGAUGAUCAGCCACACUGGGACUGAGACACGGCCCAGACUCCUACGGGAGGCAGCAGUGGGGAAUCUUGCACAAUGGGCGAAAGCCUGAUGCAGCCAUGCCGCGUGAAUGAUGAAGGCCUUAGGGUUGUAAAAUUCUUUCGUCAGGGAUGAUAAUGACCGUACCUGAAGAAGAAGCCCCGGCUAACUUCGUGCCAGCAGCCGCGGUAAUACGAAGGGGGCUAGCGUUGUUCGGAAUUACUGGGCGUAAAGCGCACGUAGGCGGACUUUUAAGUCAGGUGUGAAAUCCCGGGGCUCAACCUCGGAACUGCAUUUGAAACUGGAAGUCUUGAGACCAGGAGAGGUUAGCGGAAUACCGAGUGUAGAGGUGAAAUUCGUAGAUAUUCGGUGGAACACCAGUGGCGAAGGCGGCUAACUGGACUGGUACUGACGCUGAGGUGCGAAAGUGUGGGGAGCAAACAGGAUUAGAUACCCUGGUAGUCCACACCGUAAACGAUGAGAGCUAGUUGUU